RNAcentral lists this ribosomal RNA (886 nucleotides) under Alloeutypa flavovirens. RNAcentral describes it as "eukaryotic LSU rRNA". It matches the Rfam family "Eukaryotic large subunit ribosomal RNA", at positions 30 to 943 of the family's 3401-position model. The record is from RNAcentral. Lineage: Eukaryota; Fungi; Ascomycota; Sordariomycetes; Xylariales; Diatrypaceae.
GGACUUAAGCAUAUCAAUAAGCGGAGGAAAAGAAACCAACAGGGAUUGCCCUAGUAACGGCGAGUGAAGCGGCAACAGCUCAAAUUUGAAAUCUGGCCCUCGGGUCCGAGUUGUAAUUUGUAGAGGAUGCUUUUGGUGCAGUGCCUUCCGAGUUCCUUGGAACAGGACGCCUUAGAGGGUGAGAGCCCCGUACGGUUGGACACUAAGCCUCUGUAAAGCUCCUUCGACGAGUCGAGUAGUUUGGGAAUGCUGCUCUAAAUGGGAGGUAAAUUUCUUCUAAAGCUAAAUACCGGCCAGAGACCGAUAGCGCACAAGUAGAGUGAUCGAAAGAUGAAAAGUACUUUGAAAAGAGGGUUAAAUAGCACGUGAAAUUGUUGAAAGGGAAGCGUUUAUGACCAGACCUUUGUCUGGCGGAUCAUCCGGUGUUCUUCACCGGUGCACUUCGCCAGGCUCAGGCCAGCAUCGAUUUCUGUAGGGGGAUAAAAACCAUGGGAACGUAGCUCUCUCCGGGGAGUGUUAUAGCCCUAGGUACAAUACCUUUACGGGGAUCGAGGUUCGCGCUUCUGCAAGGAUGCUGGCGUAAUGGUCAUCAACGACCCGUCUUGAAACACGGACCAAGGAGUCGAACAUUUAUGCGAGUGUUUGGGUGUUAAACCCUCACGCGUAAUGAAAGUGAACGGAGGUGAGAGCCCGUACGGGUGCAUCAUCGACCGAUCCUGAUGUCUUCGGAUGGAUUUGAGUAAGAGCAUAACUGUUCGGACCCGAAAGAUGGUGAACUAUGCGUGGAUAGGGUGAAGCCAGAGGAAACUCUGGUGGAGGCUCGCAGCGGUUCUGACGUGCAAAUCGAUCGUCAAAUCUGCGCAUGGGGCGAAAGACUAUCGACCAU